Molecule: ribosomal RNA, 302 nt
Filed under: uncultured bacterium
Lineage: Bacteria
Description: partial 16S ribosomal RNA
Rfam family: Bacterial small subunit ribosomal RNA
Source: RNAcentral
GCAGUAGCCGCGGUAAUACGGAGGGUGCAAGCGUUAAUCGGAAUUACUGGGCGUAAAGCGCACGCAGGCGGUCUGUCAAGUCAGAUGUGAAAUCCCCGGGCUUAACCUGGGAACUGCAUUUGAAACUGGCAGGCUAGAGUCUUGUAGAGGGGGGUAGAAUUCCAGGUGUAGCGGUGAAAUGCGUAGAGAUCUGGAGGAAUACCGAUGGCGAAGGCAGCCAUCUGGCCUAAUACUGACGCUGAGGUACGAAAGCAUGGGGAGCAAACAGGAUUAGAUACCCGUGUAGUCCCUGUCUCUUAUAC